RNAcentral lists this long non-coding RNA (1133 nucleotides) under Suricata suricatta (meerkat). RNAcentral's name for it is "lncRNA (ENSSSUG00005007095.1)". Lineage: Eukaryota; Metazoa; Chordata; Mammalia; Carnivora; Herpestidae. The record is from RNAcentral.
GGAUUUUCCCUGGGCAGCAAACACCUUUGUGUGACCGCAGACCACAGACCUCUCCCAGGGCUCUAAGACGCUGAAGACAGGGACAGGGACUCAGGGGCAGAGUUCUACCUGGCUGGCUCUCCCCACAGCUUCUCGACAUGGUUCUCAAGGAGAGACUCAGGACCUGGAAGAGACUCUUCUGGCGGCUGAUCCUAUUUGCACUUGGCCUCUUAGGGCUGUACCUGUAUGGGCUCCCUGUAGUCAGGCAUCUGGAAGCCCUCAUCCCCAUAGGUGUCUGCCCUUCCGCCAGAAUGGCCCUGCUGAGGGACAACUUCACGGGUCUCUUGCAUCCCUGGGCCCGGCCUGAAGUCCCAACCUGUACUUCCUGGGGGGCCCCCAUUCUUUGGGAUGGCACCUAUGACCCAGCUGUGGCCCAGCAAGAGGCUCUACAGCAGAACCUCACCAUUGGUCUGACUGUCUUUGCUGUAGGCAGGUACCUGGAGAAGUUCCUGGCGCGCUUCCUGGAGACGGCGGAGCGGCACUUCAUGGUGGGCCAGCACGUGGUGUACUACGUGUUCACCGAGCGCCCGGACGCCGUGCCGCGCGUGGCGCUGCGCGUGGCCCGCGAGCGGCGCUGGCAGGACGUGUCCAUGCAGCGCAUGCACACGCUGCACGAGGCGCUGGGCGGGCGGCUGGGCCGCGAGGCGAGCUUCGUGUUCUGCAUGGACGUGGACCAGUAUUUCCACGGCGCCUUCGGGCCCGAGGCGCUGGCAGAGUCGGUGGCGCAGCUGCAUUCCUGGCACUACCAUUGGCCGCGGUGGCUGCUGCCCUACGAGCGGGACGCGCGCUCAGCCGCCGCUCUGGCGCCGGGCGAGGGCGACUUCUACUACCACGCGGCCGUGUUCGGGGGCAGCGUGGCGGCGCUGCGCAGGCUGACGGAGCACUGCGCGCGGGGCAUGCGGUGGGACCGCGAGCGCGGCCUGGAGGCGCGCUGGCACGACGAGAGCCACCUCAACAAGUUCUUCUGGCUGCACAAACCCGCCAAGGUGCUGUCGCCCGAGUUCUGCUGGAGCCCCGACAUCGGCGCGAGGGCCGAGAUCCGCCGGCCGCGCCUGCUCUGGGCGCCCAAGGAGUAUGCCCUGCUGCGCGACUAG